Molecule: small nuclear RNA, 131 nt
Gene: U1
Rfam family: U1 spliceosomal RNA
About the family: U1 is a small nuclear RNA (snRNA) component of the spliceosome (involved in pre-mRNA splicing). Its 5' end forms complementary base pairs with the 5' splice junction, thus defining the 5' donor site of an intron.
Source: Ensembl
AUACUUACCUGACGAGGACCAUACUGGGAUCAGGCAGCCAGUGGGUCCAGGGCGAGGCUUUGCCAUUGCACGUCUUCUCGUCGUCGCACAGCCGUAUAUCUAUAUAUGGGGGGUGGUGGUCGUAGAUUAGU